RNAcentral lists this transfer RNA (75 nucleotides) under Allocoleopsis franciscana PCC 7113. RNAcentral describes it as "Microcoleus sp. PCC 7113 tRNA-Thr". It matches the Rfam family "tRNA". From Rfam's summary of the family: Transfer RNA (tRNA) molecules are approximately 80 nucleotides in length. Their secondary structure includes four short double-helical elements and three loops (D, anti-codon, and T loops). Lineage: Bacteria; Bacillati; Cyanobacteriota; Cyanophyceae; Coleofasciculales; Coleofasciculaceae. The record is from RNAcentral.
GCAGAUGUGGUGUAAGUGGCAACACAAGGGCAUGGUAAGUCCUCGAUGUGGGUUCGACCCCCGCCGCCUGCUCCU